This 302-nucleotide ribosomal RNA is filed under the name uncultured bacterium. RNAcentral's name for it is "partial 16S ribosomal RNA". It matches the Rfam family "Bacterial small subunit ribosomal RNA", at positions 508 to 807 of the family's 1533-position model. The record is from RNAcentral.
GCAGCCGCCGCGGGAAUACCGAGGGUGCGAGCGUUAAUCGGAUUUACUGGGCGUAAAGCGUGCGUAGGCGGCUUUUUAAGUCGGAUGUGAAAUCCCUGAGCUUAACUUAGGAAUUGCAUUCGAUACUGGGAAGCUAGAGUAUGGGAGAGGAUGGUAGAAUUCCAGGUGUAGCGGUGAAAUGCGUAGAGAUCUGGAGGAAUACCGAUGGCGAAGGCAGCCAUCUGGCCUAAUACUGACGCUGAGGUACGAAAGCAUGGGGAGCAAACAGGAUUAGAUACCCCGGUAGUCCCUGUCUCUUAUAC